RNAcentral lists this ribosomal RNA (477 nucleotides) under Enterococcus casseliflavus. Its description in RNAcentral is "bacterial SSU rRNA". It matches the Rfam family "Bacterial small subunit ribosomal RNA", at positions 28 to 478 of the family's 1533-position model. Lineage: Bacteria; Bacillati; Bacillota; Bacilli; Lactobacillales; Enterococcaceae. The record is from RNAcentral.
GACGAACGCUGGCGGCGUGCCUAAUACAUGCAAGUCGAACGCUUUUUCUUUCACCGGAGCUUGCUCCACCGAAAGAGAAAGAGUGGCGAACGGGUGAGUAACACGUGGGUAACCUGCCCAUCAGAAGGGGAUAACACUUGGAAACAGGUGCUAAUACCGUAUAACACUAUUUUCCGCAUGGAAGAAAGUUGAAAGGCGCUUUUGCGUCACUGAUGGAUGGACCCGCGGUGCAUUAGCUAGUUAGUGAGGUAACGGCCCACCAAGGCAACGAUGCAUAGCCGACCUGAGAGGGUGAUCGGCCACACUGGGACUGAGACACGGCCCAGACUCCUACGGGAGGCAGCAGUAGGGAAUCUUCGGCAAUGGACGAAAGUCUGACCGAGCAACGCCGCGUGAGUGAAGAAGGUUUUCGGAUCGUAAAACUCUGUUGUUAGAGAAGAACAAGGAUGAGAGUAAAAUGUCAUCCCCUGACGGAUU